CCUACGGGGGGCAGCAGUAGGGAAUAUUGCUCAAUGGGGGAAACCCUGAAGCAGCAACGCCGCGUGGAGGAUGAAGGUUUUCGGAUUGUAAACUCCUUUUGUUAGAGAAGAGAAUGACGGUAUCUAACGAAUAAGCACCGGCUAACGCCGUGCCAGCAGCCGCGGUAAUACGGAGGGUGCAAGCGUUACUCGGAAUCACGGGGCGUAAAGAGCGCGUAGGCGGGAUAGCCAGUAAGAUGUGAAAUCCUAUGGCUUAACCAUAGAACUGCAUUUGAAACUGUUAUUCUAGAGUAUGGGAGAGGUAGGUGGAAUUCUUGGUGUAGGGGUCAAAUCCGUAGAUUUCAAGAGGACUACUCAUUGCGAAGGCGACCUGCUAGAACAUAACUGCCGCUGAUGCGCGAAAGCGUGGUGAGCAAACCGGAUUAGAUACCCGAGUAGUC
RNAcentral lists this ribosomal RNA (440 nucleotides) under uncultured bacterium. RNAcentral describes it as "partial 16S ribosomal RNA". It matches the Rfam family "Bacterial small subunit ribosomal RNA", at positions 338 to 795 of the family's 1533-position model. The record is from RNAcentral.